GAUGAACGCUGGCGGCGUGCCUAAUACAUGCAAGUCGAGCGAACAGAUAAGGAGCUUGCUCCUUUGACGUUAGCGGCGGACGGGUGAGUAACACGUGGGUAACCUACCUAUAAGACUGGGAUAACUUCGGGAAACCGGAGCUAAUACCGGAUAAUAUUUCGAACCGCAUGGUUCGAUAGUGAAAGAUGGUUUUGCUAUCACUUAUAGAUGGACCCGCGCCGUAUUAGCUAGUUGGUAAGGUAUCGGCUUACCAAGGCGACGAUACGUAGCCGACCUGAGAGGGUGAUCGGCCACACUGGAACUGAGACACGGUCCAGACUCCUACGGGAGGCAGCAGUAGGGAAUCUUCCGCAAUGGGCGAAAGCCUGACGGAGCAACGCCGCGUGAGUGAUGAAGGUCUUCGGAUCGUAAAACUCUGUUAUUAGGGAAGAACAUACGUGUAAGUAACUGUGCACGUCUUGACGGUACCUAAUCAGAAAGCCACGGCUAACUACGUG
RNAcentral lists this ribosomal RNA (497 nucleotides) under uncultured bacterium. RNAcentral's name for it is "partial 16S ribosomal RNA". It matches the Rfam family "Bacterial small subunit ribosomal RNA", at positions 28 to 507 of the family's 1533-position model. The record is from RNAcentral.